UCCUCCUGUGUGCUACCUAUAUCCCCCCACUAGAAUCCCCAUCUUUUAAUGAAGACAGCUUCUCCAUCCUGGAGGGGGAAAUCAAUCAUUUCCAGGCCCAGGGACAUGUACUAGUCUGUGGCGACCUAAAUGCCAGAACCGGACAAGAACCUGACACCCUCAGCACACAGGGGGACAAACACCUGCCUGGAGGUGACAGCAUUCCCUCCCACAUAUGCCCCCCUAGGCACAACUAUGACAACAUAACCAACAAACAAGGGUCACAACUCCUGCAGCUCUGUCGCAAGCUGGGUAUGUACAUAGUCAACGGUAGGCUUCGAGGGGACUCCUAUGGUAGGUACACCUAUAGCUCAUCUCUUGGCAGUAGUACUGUAGACUACUUUAUCACUGACCUCAACCCAGAGUCUCUCAGAGCGUUCACAGUCAGCCCACUGACACCCCUAUCAGACCACAGCAAAAUCACAGUCUACUUAAACAGAGCAAUACUCAAUCAUGAGGCAUCAAAGCCAAAGGAACUGAGUAACAUUAAGAAAUGCUAUAGAUGGAAGGAAUGCAGUUUGGAAACCUACCAAAAAACAAUUAGGCAACAACAAAUUCAAUCCCUUUUAGACAAUUUCCUGGGUAAAACGUUCCACUGUAAUAGUGAAGGUGUAAUCUUGGCAGUAGAAAAUCUUAACAAUAUAUUUGACCUCUCAGCUUCCCUAUCAAAUCUAAAAAUCUCAAAUAGAAAACCGAAGAAAAUUAACAAUAAUGACAAAUGGUUUGAUGAAGAAUGCAAAAAUCUAAGAAAGAAAUUGAGAAACCUGUCCAACCAAAAACAUAGAGACCCGGAAAACCUGAGUCUAUGCCUUCACUAUGGUGAAUCACUAAAACAAUACAGAAAUACACUACGGAAAAAGAAGGAAAAGCAUGUCAGAAAUCAGCUCAAUGUAGUUGAAGAAUCCAUAGACUCUAACCACUUCUGGGAAAAUUGGAAAACACUAAACAAACAACAACACAAAGAAUUAUCGAUCCAAAAUGUAGAUGUAUGGGUAAACCACUUCUCCAAUCUUUUUGGCUCUAUAACAAAGAAUAAAGAGCAA
Molecule: long non-coding RNA, 1082 nt
Filed under: Oncorhynchus mykiss (rainbow trout)
Lineage: Eukaryota; Metazoa; Chordata; Actinopteri; Salmoniformes; Salmonidae
Description: lncRNA (ENSOMYG00000003327.2)
Source: RNAcentral